UAAGUAUACAGUUUAAAUAUGAAUAAAGAAUUAAAAACAUUUAUAUAUUUAGUAAAGGUGAUUAAAGCUUAUUACAUACUUGUCAUUAAGUACUGAAAAGGAAGAAUAAUAGUUUUAAUAUAGAAAAAAUUAAAUUUUGUACCUUUUGCAUCAUGGUUUAGCUAGAUUUAAAUUUUAUAUAUAAAAUUUCUCGAAACUUAGUGAGCUAUUUUAUAUUACGCUAGUUUUAGAAAGACGAAAAGUGAUUGUGGCAAAAAUCUUUUUAGAGUUUAAAAUAGAAAUGAAAUUUUUUUCGUACUAAGUGAUAGCUAGUUCUUUCCAUAAAGUAUAUAAGUACUGUAAAUUAGUUUUAUGUAGUGUUAUUCAAUUCUCUGCAUAUAAUUUCUAAUUGAUUUAGGUUCUAAAGGAUAAGCUCUAGAACAAAAAUUUUAAAGUUACAUAAAUGUAUAUAUAAAUUUAAGCCUGAAAAUAGCUAUAAAUUGAGAUUUUGUUAUAAUUUCAUUAAUAGUUUUUACAUAUAAUAAAUUUGUUUUAUACAAGGAAAGUAAAACCUGAAAAUCAAAACACACAGGCUAAUUUUAUGCUAAAAUGAGUAUUUUAUGUUUAUAAAAUUUUAAUGAGCAAGAUAAAAAAUUUUGAUAUUAGUUUUUUAACUAAAUUACAAAAAGGAACUCGGCAAAUCUAUAUUCUGCCUGUUUAUCAAAAACAUGGCUCCUUGUAUUCUAUUAAAUAAGGAGUCGGACCUGCCCAGUGAAUUUUUUUAACGGCCGCGGUACUCUGACCGUGCAAAGGUAGCAUAAUCAUUUGCCUUAUAAUUGAAGGCUAGUAUGAAUGGUUUGACAAGAAUAUGACUGUCUCUUUGUAAUUAAUUAGAAUUUUAUUUUUAGGUGAAGAAGCCUAUAUAUAAUUGAAAGACAAGAAGACCCUAUCGAGCUUAAAAAAAGUUAAUAAAUGUAAUUAUUUGAUAUAGUAUUAAUAUAGUUUAUAAAAGAUUUUAGUUGGGGCGACUGAGGAACAAAGAAAGCUUCCUUUAAACACUAAAGAUUAAUACACACAGGUAGUGAUCCAAAAAGUUUUGAUUAAAGGAAUUAGUUACCGUAGGGAUAACAGCAUUAUCCUCUUUGAGAGCUCAUAUCGAAAAGGGGGUUUGUGACCUCGAUGUUGGACCAGAAUAUCCUAAAGAUGUAGCCGUCUUUAAGGGUUGGUCUGUUCGACCAUUAAAAUUCUACGUGAUCUGAGUUCAGACCGGCGUGAGCCAGGUCAGUUUCUAUCUUCAAUUUUGUGAAUAAACUUAGUACGAAAGGACCAGAUUAUUGCAAACCAGUUGUUAAAAUAUUGAUAAAAUAUAAUGAACGUAUAAACAUU
This 1365-nucleotide ribosomal RNA is filed under the name Murex trapa. RNAcentral's name for it is "16S ribosomal RNA". The stretch from base 644 to 1365 matches the Rfam family "Archaeal large subunit ribosomal RNA", at positions 1423 to 2883 of the family's 2987-position model. Lineage: Eukaryota; Metazoa; Mollusca; Gastropoda; Neogastropoda; Muricidae. The record is from RNAcentral.